GACGAACGCUGGCGGCGUGCUUAACACAUGCAAGUCGAACGGAGUGGCGAACGGGUGAGUAACACGUGGGUGACCUGCCCUGCACUUCGGGAUAAGCCUGGGAAACUGGGUCUAAUACCGGAUAGUGGGGGAUGGGCCCGCGGCCUAUCAGCUUGUGGGUGGGGUAAUGGCCUACCAGGGCGGCGACGGGUAGCCGGCCUGAGAGGGUGGACGGCCACAGUGGGACUGAGACACGGGCCAGACGGAUACGGGAGGCAGCGGGGGGGAAUAGUGCACACUGGGCGGAAGCAUGAUGCAGCGACGCCGCGUGGGGGAGGUCGGCCUUCGGGUUGUAAACUCCUUUCACCAUCGACGCGGUAGAUGGAGAAGAAGCACCGGCUAACUACGUGCCAGCAGCCGCGGUAAUUC
RNAcentral lists this ribosomal RNA (408 nucleotides) under uncultured bacterium. RNAcentral's name for it is "partial 16S ribosomal RNA". It matches the Rfam family "Bacterial small subunit ribosomal RNA", at positions 28 to 526 of the family's 1533-position model. The record is from RNAcentral.